RNAcentral lists this ribosomal RNA (466 nucleotides) under uncultured bacterium. Its description in RNAcentral is "partial 16S ribosomal RNA". It matches the Rfam family "Bacterial small subunit ribosomal RNA", at positions 29 to 506 of the family's 1533-position model. The record is from RNAcentral.
ACGAACGCUGGCGGCGUGCUUAACACAUGCAAGUCGAGCGGAAAGGCCCUGCUUUUGUGGGGUGCUCGAGUGGCGAACGGGUGAGUAACACGUGAGUAACCUGCCCUUGACUUUGGGAUAACUUCAGGAAACUGGGGCUAAUACCGGAUAGGAGCUCCUGCUGCAUGGUGGGGGUUGGAAAGUUUCGGCGGUUGGGGAUGGACUCGCGGCUUAUCAGCUUGUUGGUGGGGUAGUGGCUUACCAAGGCUUUGACGGGUAGCCGGCCUGAGAGGGUGACCGGCCACAUUGGGACUGAGAUACGGCCCAGACUCCUACGGGAGGCAGCAGUGGGGAAUAUUGCACAAUGGGCGGAAGCCUGAUGCAGCAACGCCGCGUGCGGGAUGACGGCCUUCGGGUUGUAAACCGCUUUCGCCUGUGACGAAGCGUGAGUGACGGUAAUGGGUAAAGAAGCACCGGCUAACUACGU